UCCCGGUCGCAGGCGAAAAGACACGGAUGCAACCUGAGUCCUAGGAUUCCGGGGACCAGAGGGCAGCGCCGGCGGCCAAGAUCGUGAGGUGCCAGAGACGCAUUUGAGAAGUGAUCCCAUGAAGUCCAUGAGGGUGGGGAACCACCUACCAGAGAGGAGCGGGCGAGGAAUGCUGCCCUAUUAUGGUGGACCAUAGAAGACUUCACCAGACGUUGGUGUCAUGCUUUUAGACUUCCAGCCUCCAGAACCAGGAGCCAAAUAACCUUCUGCUAUUUAUAAGUUACCCAGUUUGUGAUGUUGUUUUUCUCUCUUGUUUGGAUUUUGAGACAGGGUCUCACUCUGUACUUCAGGCUGGCCUCAAACUGCUUGGGAUUACAGGCCUGGCUUGGCAUUCUUUUUAUAGCGGCAGAAAAUGGACAGAAGGAAAAUGAAGGUGGCUUUGUGACACAUCUGUAAGCCCAGCACAGAAUGAUUGUGAGUUUGAGGCCAGCCUGGGCAAGUUCAAGGCCAGCGUGGACUAAAUAGUGAGACUUUGUCUCAAAAAAGAAAAAAAUAAAUAAAAUGAAGGUGAGCAAAACUGAAGAUGUUUGCUGUAAAUGCUUAGUAAGUCUUAAUGCAUUAUUGAAGUUCAUAAAAUGAUAACUCCCUUCAGCUAUCUCAUGUGGCAAUUUUUAUUCCUUUUCAAAUAAGUUGUAUAUGUUUGAUCUUAUGGAGCUUUGUAACAUUCCUAUGAGGUAGACAGAAGUACAAGUGUUACCUUUCCAUUUUACAGAUGAGGAAAUCAAAGCACAGAGCUGUCACACAGCAGGGAGGUAUGGCUUUGCCUACAGUCACACAGAGCUGUAGCUGGUUCAGAAUUCACUGGCAGAGCCACUGUGAAUGGAAACUGGAAUAUGCAGGGUAUGGGUUAAUCAAGGCCUGACAUGGGGUUUGAAUCAGUUGCCAGGGUUUGUCCCUGAGCAAACAGUCUGUGCUGGUAGCAGUCCGGCAUGUCAAGGACCCAUUGUUGAUGUCCUGGCAGGUGGCAAGGGAAAGAACUGGUACAUAGGCAGGACAUUCUCACCCCAGGAACACCCUCUCAUGACUGAUUCCCUUUACAUCAACCAGCUGGAUACAAGACUUGGUUUUUCCUGUCCCAGAAAAAAAUGCCAAUCAAAACAACAAAAAAAAGAGAGGGAGGCGGGCUGACUUCUCUCAAGGGAACUUGGUCCUAGAGCCAGGAGUAUCUCUGCCAGGAUGAGAGGGG
RNAcentral lists this long non-coding RNA (1246 nucleotides) under Heterocephalus glaber (naked mole-rat). RNAcentral describes it as "lncRNA (ENSHGLG00100044763.1)". Lineage: Eukaryota; Metazoa; Chordata; Mammalia; Rodentia; Bathyergidae. The record is from RNAcentral.